GGCCUUUGUAAUGAUGACCCUUUGCGCCAUCAUUGCUAUGAAAAGCCCUCUCUCUCUCUCUCUCUCUCUCUCUCUCUCUCUCUCUCUCCAAGGGGGACAGAUACAAACACAAAACAAUAGUUAUGUGGCUCACCUUUUCCUCCUGGGUUCUGCCAAGUGACCUCUGCUAUUUAAAGUCCAAUAACAUUUUUCACAACCCACAUUUUUGUUACCUUUCUCUUCUCCAGGUUUACACACAUUCAACUCUCUCUCUCUCUCUCUCUCUCUGAGAGAAAAGCAGCAACUGAAUUGUAGAGGAAAACAAUGUGUAUGAACUCCUCAGAAAUGACUCCAUGCAGUCCUCAAUACUCUGCUUUUCGCCUUCGAGGGCCAUCAAACCAACAUAACUUUCGAGUUCACCGCUUAAUCAACAGGAAGAGGAAAACAGCAAAAGAACCAAAAGGGGCAGAGAUAAGAGGGGCAAAGGUAGAGAUGGAAAUCAAGAACCUGAAGCUAUACAUGGAGAACCAGAGCAUUAUAGAAGAGAACAACAAGCUGAGGAGAAAAGCACUUCUUCUUGUCCAAGAGAACCAAGCCUUGUUUUCACAGCUCCAAGAGAAGAAGCUCUCUCCCAACAAAUGAAACAGUACCAAUAUAUGCAUGCAGCAGCACCAUGAAACUGAAACCUCAUUACCCUAAUGUAAACAUAUAUUUAAUUUAAUGCUUUGCAAUUUUCAUAUAAUUAUUAUUAGGAAAAAAAGUUAACAAGGAGUAGUUCUACUAGGGGCCCCUCUUAGCCUUGAUUUGUUCUUUCAUCUCCUUGUUGGGGAAGUUCUAAAUUCUAAUGUCUCAUCUUCCCCCCCACAUCACUUAGUUUGUGGGCUAAUUUUGGUUAAUUAUGGAUGAUUUACCUUUUAUGUGUGUCAUGUAGAUAAGUAUGUGCAAUCCUUUUACAUAUUCUUCUGUAACUUCA
Molecule: RNA transcript, 952 nt
Organism: Prunus mume (Japanese apricot)
Lineage: Eukaryota; Viridiplantae; Streptophyta; Magnoliopsida; Rosales; Rosaceae
Source: RefSeq, a predicted model, not a curated record